CUGGCUGUACUGGGGUGCGGUGCGGGGCUGCUCUGCAGCUCCUGCCUGGGUCGUGCUGGCAGUGGGAACGGUCCAGGUGCUGCCAGUGGAUGGAGGUUGUUUGUGAAUAUCUGUUUUCUCCCUCUCUUUUUUUUGGGGGGAGGGAGAAGGCUUUCUAUAUGUGUGCUCAGGCUGGAUUGGGUAUUUCUGGGGCACCAGGAAUAGGCUUGACUUUUGUAUUCAACAGCACGCGUUUCAGAAGAGGACGUGUGGAAAUCUUUUUUGGGUCUCCCUGCUCAGUGGGACUGCUUUGGCUCAUUACAACUGCAGGUGGAUUUUCAGGUGGCACUUUUCUGCUCUUAGAAAUGCCUGAUGUUCAUUGCGAGGUCAGACAGGAAGCCCAGCACUGUUUGUCCACUUCUUUUUACUGUCAUCUCUCACCGGCCAGUGUGCUGGGCUUUGCUGCUGUGAAAAAUGGGUGUGGACACUUGACAGGUACAGUGAAACCUCUCAUUAACUCAAACUCUUAACGUGCAUGAUUAGAGUCAGCUCAGAUCUGAUUGUAACUUCUCUUCCAUGGACUGCUGGUUGGAAGGAGUUCUGGUAUGUCUUUUGUUGGCCAAGUUAUACUCCAAAGGUGAGGGGAUAAUGUUGGAGGGAGCAUUGCUUCCUGAUUAGUGCGAAUGGGCCAACUGACAAGCCCAACUUUAUGGUUGUGGCCAGUGGUGUGGCUCUGCAAAGAGAUGGUGCUUUUGAGUGCUUUUGCCUUAAAGACUGGUUUGGCCAUGAAGAGAGAAAAGAACUGCGCAGUUGCAGCAGCUGGUUUCUGUGGCAGUUUUCAUGUUAUCAUCAAUGGGACCCCUUUAGUGUCCACGGUGCAGGUGCAAGAUGUGGUAUUUUGUUUGUUUAGGAGAGAACAAGUAAUGUUUUUGACCUGCAGGAGUGGUAUUGCUCAGCAGAGGGAAUGAUGUCUUAUUGCCUUUUCCACGUCCCAUGGGGAGAUAACAUGAGAGAUUAUCCUAGAGAGAUAGCAUGCUGUGCCAACCUGGGGAUGGACUAUAGCUGAAAGUAGUAAAACUGUCUGUCUCUUGUUUGAUGAUGACAGCUAUCUUAGAGAAAGUUUCAUUGCAGGGAUGAUUUCAGACAGUUUGUGCCUUCCUUCCUAUAAGCUGAGGAGUAACUGCUAGUAAUGAUUAAUUUAAAUAAGGAAAAUAUAAACCCUGAAUUCUCUUUGGGCAAAUAGCGGUCAUGUAAAAGUCUCUAGUGUUCUUUGUGGUACCUGUAGACGGUCUACCUACUACUUCUGGUUUGUUGCUAAAGCAGUUUGGGGAAAGGCUGUGUUUCCAGCAGCUACAGAUGAUCCUGGUUUGUGUAGGUCUACAAUGUAGCAGGACUUCCCUACUUUCCAAGGCUUAAUGUAGUUUAUUUCUCCUAUGCAGGUUGCUUUACUAGUCUGGUAGUGGCACCAUGUUGCUGCUGCUCCUUGAGCUCUGAAUACUUCAGUGGUGACCUGGGUGAAAUACAAGUAAACACACAGUUGGAUUGACCUAGCAUAUCAAAGCUCUUGGUAUGCUGAAAAUGUUUGUUUUUGAGAUGUUUGUGCACUCUGAAGAGCUCUGUACCUUAAACCCAAUUUGCAGGGGACUGUGACCAUGUUUAAGCUGUGAAAAACAAAAGAUCAACCCAAAGAAUCUGUGCUUUUAGUGCUUGUUCUGUGAGAUUGAAUAAGUUGCUAGCAAACUAUUAAAGUGCUACUGGAAAAAAGUUAUUAUGAUAACCUACCUGAGUAAACUAGGUAGACAGAGUUUCUGGUCUAAUGCAUUUUUCUAUCUGUGUCUCUUUUUGCAUUUAUCCCUUGGCUUAAAUUGUCUCUGGUUCAUCUAUUCUAGAAUAAAAUUUUAUCCUGUUAGCGGGAAAGAUGG
Long non-coding RNA from Struthio camelus australis, 1901 nucleotides. The record is from Ensembl. Lineage: Eukaryota; Metazoa; Chordata; Aves; Struthioniformes; Struthionidae.